UAGUCAUAUGGAUUCCUACGGGAGGCAGCAGUGAGGAAUAUUGGUCAAUGGGCGAGAGCCUGAACCAGCCAAGUCGCGUGAAGGAAGAAGGUUCUAUGGAUUGUAAACUUCUUUUAUAAGGGAAUAAAAAACGGCACGUGUGCUGUACUGUAUGUACUUUAUGAAUAAGGAUCGGCUAACUCCGUGCCAGCAGCCGCGGUAAUACGGAGGAUCCAAGCGUUAUCCGGAUUUAUUGGGUUUAAAGGGUGCGUAGGCGGACCAAUUAGUCAGUGGUGAAAGUUUGCAGCUCAACUGUAAAAUUGCCAUUGAAACUGUUGGUCUUGAGUGUAAAUGAGGUAGGCGGAAUGUGUUGUGUGGCGGUGAAAUGCUUAGAUAUAACACAGAACACCAAUUGCGAAGGCAGCUUACUGGGAUACAACUGACGCUGAGGCACGAAAGCGUGGGGAUCAAACAGGAUUAGAUACCCUGGUAGUCCACGCAGUAAACGAUGAAUACUAGCUGUAUGCGAUAUACUGUAUGUGGCAAAGCGAAAGCGUUAAGUAUUCCACCUGGGGAGUACGUUCGCAAGAAUGAAACUCAAAGGAAUUGACGGGGGCCCGCAUAAGCGGAGGAACAUGUGGUUUAAUUCGAUGAUACGCGAGGAACCUUACCCGGGCUUGAAAUGCAUCUGACCGACGAGGAAACUUGUCCUCUAGCAAUAGCAGAUGUGUAGGUGCUGCAUGGUUGUCGUCAGCUCGUGCCGUGAGGUGUCGGCUUAAGUGCCAUAACGAGCGCAACCCUCAUCAUUAGUUACUAACAGGUCAUGCUGAGGACUCUAAUGAGACUGCCAGCGUAAGCUGUGAGGAAGGUGGGGAUAACGUCAAAUCAGCACGGCCCUUACGUCCGGGGCGACACACGUGUUACAAUGGGGGGGACAGCAGGCAGCUACACGGCGACGUGAUGCCAAUC
This 948-nucleotide ribosomal RNA is filed under the name uncultured Paludibacter sp. RNAcentral describes it as "bacterial SSU rRNA". It matches the Rfam family "Bacterial small subunit ribosomal RNA", at positions 321 to 1273 of the family's 1533-position model. Lineage: Bacteria; Pseudomonadati; Bacteroidota; Bacteroidia; Bacteroidales; Paludibacteraceae. The record is from RNAcentral.